This 644-nucleotide long non-coding RNA is filed under the name Cricetulus griseus (Chinese hamster). RNAcentral's name for it is "lncRNA (ENSCGRG00015041467.1)". Lineage: Eukaryota; Metazoa; Chordata; Mammalia; Rodentia; Cricetidae. The record is from RNAcentral.
GGUGUGCCUGACCAUGCUUGCAAGAUCGUGGUCAGGGUGAUGUAGAGUGAGACUUUCAGGGGACUGCAUUUCUCUUUCGGUUUCACUUUUGUACUUGCUGGACAGACUGCUGCCACGCCGGCUGGCUAGGUUGCUCUGGUCUGCGUAUGUCACACAGGUUGGCUUGGAACUAUGUAACCCAGGCUGCCUUAGCCUCCAAGAUGUGUUUAAAUUACAGGCAUGAACCACCACAACCCUCCACCUCUGUUUUCUCUCAGAAUAAACACAUCCAGAAAAACAAGCAAAUGAAAUUUUCUAAUACUAAGCAAGUGCUCUACUACUAAGCUACAUCUCCUGACCCUUCAUAGUUCUUAAAUGGAUGCUGAUAAUAAUGCUUUAUACUUAGCAAGGAUUAAGAAAACAAGAACUGGCAGAAAUACUGCUAAAUUGUCUUUGAGGAAAGUUUGGAAGAGAUAAGUCAGAUGUCUAAUUAUUCCCAUCCAUUUAUGGCUGUGAAUUAGACUGCUAUGCCAAGACAACACUCAUUUAUUCUCAGCAAUUUGAUUAUUGGUCCCUAUAGCAACUGUCCAAUGCCAAACAGAGCUUUCCCUUCACAACUAAGACUGAUAGCAAGAGUCAUCUAAGUGUGAAACACAAAUAUUUAG